RNAcentral lists this ribosomal RNA (492 nucleotides) under uncultured bacterium. RNAcentral describes it as "partial 16S ribosomal RNA". It matches the Rfam family "Bacterial small subunit ribosomal RNA", at positions 29 to 507 of the family's 1533-position model. The record is from RNAcentral.
AGUGAACGCUGGCGGUAGGCCUAACUCAUGCAAGUCGAACGGCAGCACAGUAAGAGCUUGCUCUUACGGGUGGCGAGUGGCGGACGGGUGAGGAAUACAUCGGAAUCUACUUUUUCGUGGGGGAUAACGUAGGGAAACUUACGCUAAUACCGCAUACGACCUACGGGUGAAAGCAGGGGAUCUUCGGACCUUGCGCGAUUGAAUGAGCCGAUGUCGGAUUAGCUAGUUGGCGGGGUAAAGGCCCACCAAGGCGACGAUCCGUAGCUGGUCUGAGAGGAUGAUCAGCCACACUGGAACUGAGACACGGUCCAGACUCCCACGGGAGGCAGCAGUGGGGAAUAUUGGACAAUGGGCGCAAGCCUGAUCCAGCCAUACCGCGUGGGUGAAGAAGGCCUUCGGGUUGUAAAGCCCUUUUGUUGGGAAAGAAAAGCAGCAGGUUAAUACCCCGCUGUUCUGACGGUACCCAAAGAAUAAGCACCGGCUAACUUCGUG